UGCUGAUUGUAGCGUGAUAAAGGAAAUGGACAAAACUAAAACACGUUUCAAUUUCCCAUCACAAAGGCCUUUAUUGCCGUUGUUUCAAUAAAAUAUAGGCUACAUUACAAACUCACCAUAAAAAUAACAGGGGUACUUCCGCCGUGCAUGCAAACGGCCAGAAUACAGUGAUAAACAUUAGCUCCAAACAAUACGUCAGACACCAAGACACAUCAACACAGACAGAUGAUGGAUUGCAGUAGUAAGGUUUGCAUAGGUUCAAAAGAAGAAUACUGAUAACCUUAUAGUUCAAACCAAGGGAAAUUCACUUCCUCCACUCCACAUAUGAGUAAAAUGAACUUGAUCUAAACUAUUUCAGAUGUAUAACGUUUCACAGUGAGAGAGAAAGCUGUGUAUCAAACAUGACUGGGGAUGGAGAACAUCUUGGUUAGUAGCAAUUCACAGGAAUACGUGUAAAGUCAUAAGAGACAUACCAAACCAAACCAUGCCUCUUUUCCUAGCUCAAUAUUACAAUCAUUAGUCACUCCUUUCAGAUGUUUCAGAUACUUCAAAGUGUAUUUUGUCUUUAGUGGCAUGCAUGCAACUCUUUAGUCUAAAGAUCCCCUCAGCUUAGCCCCAGAACAUACUAUCCAGUAUGAUUUGACUGCUCGAGACUAUUAGCACAUGUUGAUCAACCUACCAUAACAUCCCUUCACAGCUUAGACCUCUUAUGUGUUCAUUUCAGUAUGAACUCUAAACAUAAGGCAAUGGAACCAUCUUUAGUUACACCUUAUACAAUAACCCUAUCAUUCCUGGGACCCCGCCCACAUUUUGGCCUAAGGUUCAGUGGCGUUCCGCAGUUUUAAAGGAAAUUUCCUGAAAUUCUAUUUUGUUCAGAUUGUUUUUAGAUUACUUUCUAGUUCUGAGUUGGGUAUCCAUCCACCGCUUGCAAUCCUGUUUUUGAAAUGCUAUUACAUGACAUAAUAUGGUAGCAGAAAGACAUUCAAUAUGCGACACAUAAAACAGAUAAACAUCAGCGAGUGCUCAUAAAAUGUGGUUAUAUUUCCCUAUAUUGGAUCACUCCGAUAUAUUGGUAUCACUCCGCGGCGGAGGGAUACAUCCGAGGUGAGGAUUUACAGAUUUACUCCCGUGUACACCUGUGUCACGGCUGGGGUCCGCCCCUGUAUAUAGACCCCAUGGCCACGACACAUUCUCUUUCAUUUUCUCGGCAGACGUCCGUAUGGUUUGAGGUACAAACUUUCUGAAGUUCGCUUGGUAAAUCACUGGUAAGUGUAAUAUCUUGCGUGAAAGUAUACUCACUGGCUGUUUUGCAGCCUGGAGCAGUUGGCCACAUGGCCAGCCCCUCCUCUUGAGUGCUCCACUUGCUGCGCAUGGUUGAUCUGUAUCUUCCGCCCGUGGUUUGUCAUGCUUGUGUUUUGUUAGCGUUACACUACGACUCCGUGGCCCUGCGGUCUUUCCUUCCACAUCUGAAAGGAAGACAUGUCCUGGUGAGAAAGGACAACACCACAGUGGUGGCUUACAUCAACCAUCAGGGUGGACUGAGGUCCCACCGCCUCAAUCUUAUAGCAUGGGAGCUCUGGGCUGUCUAGCAUCUCUAUGCGCAGCGCACGUACCUGACAUCCUGAGUGUGGCAGCGGAUAUGCUCUCUAGGGAGGGCCAACCAUCUUGGGACUGGAGCCUACAUCCCCAGGUGGUGCAGCACCUGUGGGACAAGUUCGGGAGGGUGCAGGUGGAUCUGUUUGCCUCUCUGGACAAUGCACACUGCCCCUGUGGUACUCCAUGUCAGAGACACCAGGGCCUCUUGGCUUGGAUGCUCUGGCUCACGAUUGGCCAGGGCUGGAGCUUUACACAUUCCCCCCUUUUCCCCUGAUCCAGGCUGUGCUGGACAGGACCAGGAUGGCAGAGCAUUGUCUGCUUCUGGUGGCCCCAUACUGGCCCAGACAACCCUUGUUCAGCCUUUUCCUGUCCCUGUUGUCUGGGACAUCUUGACAACUUCCCCUGAGACCGGACUUGCUGUCUCAGGCCAGGGGAACUCUGUGACCAUCCGAGGCCGCACCGCCUCAGUCUGUGGGCUUGGCCACUAAACGGCACCAAGGAUCCAUGUUAGGACUACAGGAGGGAGUAAUGAACACCAUGCAGAACGCAAGGGCGCCGGCUACAACCGCGGCAUACCAGUUGUGCUGGCGGUUGUUCUGCUCUUGGUGCACUGGUAUUGAGGUUGUGCCCGAGUCGUGCGGGGUGCAGUAUGUCCUCCAAUACCUGCAGUCUCUCUUGGAUGAGGGCUUGGCAGCCUCUACACUGAGCAGGUAUUUAGCCACUAUAUCUGCCUGCCAUGUGGGGUGGAUGGACAGGCCAGUGGGGCGCCAUCCCUUGGUCUCCAGGUUUAUGAAGGGUGUUUGUCACCUGCGUCCAACUAGGACCCACUCAAUGGCAAGCUGGGAUCUGGAUGUGGUCUUGGCAGCUUUGGCAAAGCUGGCUUUCGAACCGUUGGAGUCUGCCUCCCUGAAACACCUCUCUAUGAAGGUGGCUUUCUUGAAGAGGUGGGUGAGCUCUAUGCUCUUCCUGUAAGUUCUGAGUGCUACCGGGUGGACCCCGAGGGGAGGAGUAUAUCUCUCCACCCCAACCCUUCAUUCCUCCCGAAGGAUAUGUCAGACAGGCAUGUGAACAUCCCUUUUAUCCUGUCUGCUUACGAUCCCCCUGCAGUGGUGGGGGAGUCUGGGCCUCCCUCUGGCAUGCUGUGCCCUGUGAGGGCACUGGUUGCCUAUGUGGAGGACACAGUGAGUGAGAACAACAGACCAGCUCUUUGUCUGCUAUGGUGAGAGAGUCCUGUGGGCUGGGCUGUCAAAGCAGAGGCUCUCUCACUGGAUCGUGGACACGAUUACGACAGCAUACCACCUGGAUGGCAUGCCAGUGCUGGGAUCUGUGAUGGCACAUUCAACAUGAGGUGUGGCUGCGUCCUUGGCUCUAUUGAGAGGAGUUCCCCUCGCUGAGAUCUGUGUUGCGGCCAGCUGGGCUUCUUCUUGCACAUUUUGCUAGGUACUAUCGGGUACAUGUGGCAUCUCCCUCUGCGGUUGGUUUAGCGGUCCUGGGCGUCGCCUCCCCUUCCGGGGACAGGGCCGGGACCCCGUUCCACAUUGACAGUCCCUGCGUCUCGGUCUCGCACUUCGCCGCUGGCUGGCCGGGUCCCUCUAGCACCGACUAAUCUGGUACGUGUAUACCAAUAUAUUGGAGUGAUCCAAUAUAAUGAAACAUAAUGACGGUUAUGCAUGUAACCACGGUUAUGUGAGCUAUAUGGAUCACUCCAAUCCUCUACGGUGCUAGAGGCGCCUCAAAAAAUGUAUAGAGAACGUGUCGCGGCCAUGGGGUCUAUAUACAGGGGCGGACCCCAGCCGUGACACAGGUGUACACGGGAGUAAAUCUGUAAAUCCUUCAGCUUGCAUGUAUCCCUCCGGCGCGGAGUGAUACCAAUAUAUUGGAGUGAUCCAUAUAGCUCACAUUGUGUUGACAAACCCUAUACUGUCUGUUUCUGGAUGCCUUUCAUCCUUCCCCUAUAAAACAUCUUUACCUCCAUGACAUAUUCACAAAUUGAACUGUUAUGAUUGAAACAAUUCAUGAGUGAAAUCAUACUGUACUACAUGUACACUUAUUGAGAGAAUAUUUACAGUUAACAGAAAUCAUAAGCAAAAGCUACAUGAGGAAAAAUAACCAUUAUAUUUCA
Molecule: long non-coding RNA, 3718 nt
Filed under: Salmo salar (Atlantic salmon)
Lineage: Eukaryota; Metazoa; Chordata; Actinopteri; Salmoniformes; Salmonidae
Description: lncRNA (ENSSSAG00000105097.1)
Source: RNAcentral